Molecule: transfer RNA, 85 nt
Filed under: Pseudomonas fluorescens
Lineage: Bacteria; Pseudomonadati; Pseudomonadota; Gammaproteobacteria; Pseudomonadales; Pseudomonadaceae
Also listed under: 1 other name
Description: tRNA-Ala
Source: RNAcentral
CAGCCCUUUACCGGGGCGUUGGCUGAUCGCUUUGGCGCGGCGAAAGUGGUGAUCGUUGGCGGCGUGCUGUAUGCCGUAGGGCUGU